AGGCCGAGGCCAGGAUCGGGCCCACAUUUUUCUGUUGGGUAUGGACAGGAGGGAGGCUUGCUGAGCUAGGUUCGGGGAAGCGGGAAGUUGGAACCCAACCACUGUGAGGCGUGGCUAACUGCGUCACGUUGCUCAAUCGACUAUCCUCAGACACCCGCCAUCCCUUCUGUCCUGUUCCCCUCACCUUCCUUCGCGGCAUUGCCGGCGGCUGCGGCCCGACAGUUCCGAUUCGGGCAGCGGCGGCAGCAGCAGCAGGAACGGUGGCUCCGGCGGGCUCCGUGGCGGCCUCUGUAGCAGUCCCAAUCCUGCGGACGAUCCCAAGUGCCUCCUGCUUCACAGCGUCUAGACCCUUCUGCGCAGGCGCCGCGGGCUGAGGCGCUUUUUCCUUCACUUCCGGCUGGGGCUCGCGUCACCUGACGCUGCGGGCCGGAGAGGGUGCUGGGAGGUUCGCUCCUCUUGCUGAGGCUAGUGAGCGCCAUUUUGGAGUUGGGCAGAGAGGUAGCCCAGUGGUAGAAAUCCAGGCCAGCCAUUUUUAGUUAGGGGGUUUGGUACAUUUUGCGGACGUGGGCAGCCAUUCUUGUUUGGGGCUGAAGCCUGACGGUAGAAGCUAACGGUUCUCAUCUUUACCUUGGGCAAAAUUUCCCUUCCCGGUCGUUUUAAUUUCUGAAGUCGAGGAAGGAAACCCCCAGAAUCCAUCAGGUGGCUGAAGUUUAACCCCUUCGUUGCCUAAUUGGCUAAAGGGCAUUCCUGUUUAUCGUAUAAACUCAAAGUUGGGAAGGGAUAUUUUGCCCAAGAAAUUGUAUUUCAAAAGCCAUCCUGUGUCUCAACGUGAUGGGAAUGGGGGCGUGUAAAAGGAACUAAGAAGGGUAGCGUCCAUCCUCAGGAAGUUUGUUGUCUGGUAGAGGAGACAUUGUCCUUGCCCGUAGAGAGCAGCAAGUCCUUCACGUCGCGGAAGGAGGCAAAACCAUUCUCCAGCAGCGGUAGCUCCAAAGAGUUCCCAGUUUCGCUCUAGGGGUGCCACCAGAACUGGUAUUCCGAUAUUUUGAUGCCUCUGAUUCUACAUUUACCCUUCACCUGUUUUAAAAUUUCUGCCAUAUCCUCUAUUGUUAAGGACAAGGAAUCGUCAUUUUAAAAGGGCUGCAAGGGAUCCCUGGGUGGCGCAGCGGUUUGGCGCCUGCCUUUGGCCCAGGGCGCAAUCCUGGAGACCCGAGGUUGAAUCCCACGUCGGGCUACCGGUGCAUGGAGCCUGCUUCUCCCUCUGCCUAUGUCUCUGCCUCUCUCUCUCUCUCUCUCUCUGUGUGACUAUCAUAAAUAAAUAAAAAUUAAAAAAAAAAAGGGCUGCAAUUUCACAGCAAAGUUUGAUUCCCACUGAGAGGAAACAAAGAGUGAAGGAGUGAACAUCAUCUGGUCUGAAAGAAGGAAAAGAAGCCCGUGACACAAUUCUGACCCCAUUUCCUCAGGAUCUCAUUCCCUGAGGAGCCAGGCCUGACAUUUCAGACAGAGGCUGAGGAAAGGAGCUAGGUCAACUCGAGUGUCUUCUGCCAACAACUUAUCAGGAAGAACCAUGACUCUCUGGACUCAGAAGAUCCAAUUCUUCAGCUGUGCCACCUCCACUGGCUCUUCUUCCACUGUCCAGGUCCUCAAUUCCUGGCACCUUGACUUUUGAACAAAAUUUAAACACCAUGUCCUUGAGACUACCCACAUUACCUUUCUCUCCAAGGAAGACUGCAUCUGUCUAAUACUAUGCCAUUUUAUCUUUAGAAUAACUCUGUGAGGUUAGUGGAAGUGGUCCUUGCAUAGAGAAAGGAAGCCACCUGCCCAAAGUAUUUUAAGAUUCCUUAUUCCAGGGCUUUUACCUCUCACACACACUGUAUAGCUUAACAAAUAAAAAUUAUCCAUCACCUCCUAAGAAUGCCUGAGAAUUUACAUGGUAAGGGGUCGUAAAAUGGAAUAUGUUGUCAGGAAAGAACAGAUUUCAAGAGAUCAACUAGUCAUUUUUUGGCUUUCAGGUAGGCCAAUGGUCUAGAAGCUGAGUGUUGGUUAGGAAAGUACUUGAAUUUGGAGUCAAAAGACCUCAGAUGUAAGUCCUGGGUCUGCCAUUUACUGAAUGGAUGAUUUGGAGCAAGUCACCUAACACUUAGCCUUCUAUAAAAUAGGGACAAUAAGUCUGUGGGCUUUUUUGUUUUUUGUUUUUAUUUUACAUGCCUAUUGUGAAAAUUAAGUGAGAUGAUGUAUGUGAAGCUAUAAAGUUCUAGGCAAGUGUUAAUUUUAAUGUCAGCUGAAUUUGCAUCUUUGGAGACUGUUUAUGUAAAAUAUAAAUAGUAAUAUCUGUGUUCAUAACAAAGUUUUAUAAAAAUAGGAGUUCCGGUCUGGUGUCAGGCUGCCUGAAUAAUCUUGGGCAUGCUAUUUCUUUCUGAUACCUCAUUAAAGUGGAAUAAUACCCAUCUCAUAGAUGUGGUCAUGAGCAUUAAAUGAAUGAAUGUAUACACAGUACUUAACAUGUAGUUGGCAUAGAGAAAGAAACUCAAUGAAUGUUAGCUGCUACCAUUACCGAUUUUAUUAAUGGAGAGGUGGGGCAGGGCGGUCCAGUAAGAUCUGAUAGAGAUCUGAGCUAGAAAUCAAAAAGACUCACCUUUUUGGGUCUCAGUUUUUCUACUUGCUCUAUAACAAAAAUCUAUGGUUUUCUUCUUCCAGAUUGUCAUGAGAAUUAAAAAAAAAAGUAUAUGCAGACUUUGAACUAAUUGGACUUGAGGAACAUUAUAAAUUGCAAGAUUUUUUGUUUUAAGAAACUAAGUUUGUAAAGACUCUUGACUUUUUUUUUUUUUUAAGAUGUUAUUUAUUUAUUUG
Molecule: long non-coding RNA, 2847 nt
Organism: Canis lupus familiaris (dog)
Lineage: Eukaryota; Metazoa; Chordata; Mammalia; Carnivora; Canidae
Exons: 4
Source: RefSeq, a predicted model, not a curated record